RNAcentral lists this ribosomal RNA (407 nucleotides) under uncultured Akkermansia sp. RNAcentral's name for it is "bacterial SSU rRNA". It matches the Rfam family "Bacterial small subunit ribosomal RNA", at positions 355 to 773 of the family's 1533-position model. The record is from RNAcentral. Lineage: Bacteria; Pseudomonadati; Verrucomicrobiota; Verrucomicrobiia; Verrucomicrobiales; Akkermansiaceae.
UCGAGAAUCAUUCACAAUGGGGGAAACCCUGAUGGUGCGACGCCGCGUGGGGGAAUGAAGGUCUUCGGAUUGUAAACCCCUGUCAUGUGGGAGCAAAUUAAAAAGAUAGUACCACAAGAGGAAGAGACGGCUAACUCUGUGCCAGCAGCCGCGGUAAUACAGAGGUCUCAAGCGUUGUUCGGAAUCACUGGGCGUAAAGCGUGCGUAGGCUGUUUCGUAAGUCGUGUGUGAAAGGCGCGGGCUCAACCCGCGGACGGCACAUGAUACUGCGAGACUAGAGUAAUGGAGGGGGAACCGGAAUUCUCGGUGUAGCAGUGAAAUGCGUAGAUAUCGAGAGGAACACUCGUGGCGAAGGCGGGUUCCUGGACAUUAACUGACGCUGAGGCACGAAGGCCAGGGGAGCGAAA